This 663-nucleotide ribosomal RNA is filed under the name Staphylococcus aureus. RNAcentral's name for it is "partial 23S ribosomal RNA". It matches the Rfam family "Bacterial large subunit ribosomal RNA", at positions 557 to 1226 of the family's 2925-position model. Lineage: Bacteria; Bacillati; Bacillota; Bacilli; Caryophanales; Staphylococcaceae. The record is from RNAcentral.
CGUGUGCUUACAAGUAGUCAGAGCCCGUUAAUGGGUGAUGGCGUGCCUUUUGUAGAAUGAACCGGCGAGUUACGAUUUGAUGCAAGGUUAAGCAGUAAAUGUGGAGCCGUAGCGAAAGCGAGUCUGAAUAGGGCGUUUAGUAUUUGGUCGUAGACCCGAAACCAGGUGAUCUACCCUUGGUCAGGUUGAAGUUCAGGUAACACUGAAUGGAGGACCGAACCGACUUACGUUGAAAAGUGAGCGGAUGAACUGAGGGUAGCGGAGAAAUUCCAAUCGAACCUGGAGAUAGCUGGUUCUCUCCGAAAUAGCUUUAGGGCUAGCCUCAAGUGAUGAUUAUUGGAGGUAGAGCACUGUUUGGACGAGGGGCCCCUCUCGGGUUACCGAAUUCAGACAAACUCCGAAUGCCAAUUAAUUUAACUUGGGAGUCAGAACAUGGGUGAUAAGGUCCGUGUUCGAAAGGGAAACAGCCCAGACCACCAGCUAAGGUCCCAAAAUAUAUGUUAAGUGGAAAAGGAUGUGGCGUUGCCCAGACAACUAGGAUGUUGGCUUAGAAGCAGCCAUCAUUUAAAGAGUGCGUAAUAGCUCACUAGUCGAGUGACACUGCGCCGAAAAUGUACCGGGGCUAAACAUAUUACCGAAGCUGUGGAUUGUCCUUUGGACAAU